UACGAAGGGGGCUAGCGUUGUUCGGAAUUACUGGGCGUAAAGCGCACGUAGGCGGAUAUUUAAGUCAGGGGUGAAAUCCCAGAGCUCAACUCUGGAACUGCCUUUGAUACUGGGUAUCUUGAGUAUGGAAGAGGUAAGUGGAAUUGCGAGUGUAGAGGUGAAAUUCGUAGAUAUUCGCAGGAACACCCGUAGCGAAGGCGGCACUCUGGGCCGGUACUGACGCUGAGACGCGAAAGCGUGGGUAGCAAACAGG
RNAcentral lists this ribosomal RNA (253 nucleotides) under uncultured bacterium. RNAcentral's name for it is "partial 16S ribosomal RNA". It matches the Rfam family "Bacterial small subunit ribosomal RNA", at positions 524 to 776 of the family's 1533-position model. The record is from RNAcentral.